This 418-nucleotide ribosomal RNA is filed under the name uncultured fungus. Its description in RNAcentral is "eukaryotic LSU rRNA". The stretch from base 25 to 178 matches the Rfam family "5.8S ribosomal RNA". Lineage: Eukaryota; Fungi. The record is from RNAcentral.
AGUGGCAUAAGCAAAAUAAAUCAAAACUUUCAGCAACGGAUCUCUUGGUUCUGGCAUCGAUGAAGAACGCAGCGAAAUGCGAUAAGUAAUGUGAAUUGCAGAAUUCAGUGAAUCAUCGAAUCUUUGAACGCAUAUUGCGCCCGCCAGUAUUCUGGCGGGCAUGCCUGUCCGAGUGUCAUUUCAACCCUCAGGGCCCGUUCGCGGGACCUGGUGUUGGGGAUCGGCCGUCCAUCGCGGCGGCCGGCCCUGAAAUCGAGUGGCGGUCUCGUCGCGACCUCCUCUGCGUAGUAGCAAUAUCUCGCAGCUGGAAGGCGACGGGGCCACGCCGUAAAACUGUCUCCGGACACUUUUUCUCAAGGUUGACCUCGGAUCAGGUAGGAAUACCCGCUGAACUUAAGCAUAUCAAUAAGCGGAGGAA